CUUUGAGCUCUGGCUCUCACUACAUUUUGCCUCCUCAUCUGUGAUGGUCCCAGAUCCUUCAGGUGAUAAGUGGAAUACCUUCUGUCAAUAGGUCUCCAGACUAUCUGGGUUAAAAAGAAGCAAGAAGGCUCAAUGAACCAGUGCUUGUGUUAUUUUGCUGAUCCCUCAACUUGUUCGGGAGCAAAGGCCACAAGAAAGAAGUGGAAGACCACAUUGUAAUUCAUCUCUUUACUCCUCAGAGGCUGGUAUGGUCUAUGGACAAGAAUUUCAAAGAAGAAGAUUGUGGUUUCAUAAGUAAAGGGGAUGCUACUCUCGAGCAUAUACUUUUACAUUUGGGGGUGAGGCCCUGACUGAAAACAAAUGACUGUGCAAAGUAGGAAGUAACUGGCAGAGCCAUUAAGGCAGCACUGACCAACACUGAGGCCAACACCCUGACCUUGCUUCCCGUAACAGUCUGAGUGCACCGGCCUGUUGGCUAAUGCAGUGGAUUCAAGCUUUCCCCCUUCAGCCGGGGUCUUGAAUGACCACAGUUGAUGCAACAGUGGCUCUGAAGAGCUAAUGGACAGAAGGCAGCUCACUAAACUCUUUGCUUUUAUCGAUUGCAGGCUGCACGCUCGCUCCCCCCUCCCCUAAAGAUUCUGACUCAGGUGUUUAAUCAUACCACAGAACGUACUCCAUCUCAUUUGAUGUCAGAGACUAAACAGGCCUGGGCCAGGAUGCUAGUUGGAUGGGAGAGAGUCUCAUCCAGUAGAUCUGGGAUGGGACUCUUUCAGGCAUUAUAUGUUCUUCGUGAUU
This is a long non-coding RNA of Mastomys coucha (southern multimammate mouse), 795 nucleotides long. RefSeq lists it as uncharacterized. The record is from RefSeq and is a predicted model, not a curated record. NCBI's taxonomy places the organism in Eukaryota, Metazoa, Chordata, Mammalia, Rodentia, Muridae. The transcript is spliced from 2 exons.